UUAAGUUCAGCGGGUAGUCCUACCUGAUUUGAGGUCAAAUGUCAAGAAUUGUCCAGAAGACGGUUAGAAGCUAAACCGAUUUUAAAGCUGCUUCCCAAUGGCGUAGAUAAUUAUCACACCAGAGAUGGUCAACAAAGGUUUCGCUAAUGCAUUUAAGGAGAGCUGACUUCUGAGAAGCCCGCAACUCCCACAUCCAAGCC
Molecule: unclassified non-coding RNA, 200 nt
Filed under: Atractosporocybe sp.
Lineage: Eukaryota; Fungi; Basidiomycota; Agaricomycetes; Agaricales; Lyophyllaceae
Description: partial internal transcribed spacer 2
Source: RNAcentral